RNAcentral lists this ribosomal RNA (447 nucleotides) under uncultured bacterium. RNAcentral's name for it is "partial 16S ribosomal RNA". It matches the Rfam family "Bacterial small subunit ribosomal RNA", at positions 29 to 523 of the family's 1533-position model. The record is from RNAcentral.
AGCGAACGCUGGCGGCAGGCUUAACACAUGCAAGUCGAACGCCCCGCAAGGGUAGUGGCAGACGGGUGAGUAACACGUGGGAACGUACCCUUUGGUUCGGAAUAACUUGGGGAAACUCAAGCUAAUACCGGAUAAGCCCUUAUGGGGAAAGGUUUACUGCCGAAGGAUCGGCCCGCGCCUGAUUAGCUAGUUGGUGAGGUAAUGGCUCACCAAGGCGACGAUCAGUAGCUGGUCUGAGAGGAUGAUCAGCCACACUGGGACUGAGACACGGCCCAGACUCCUACGGGAGGCAGCAGUGGGGAAUAUUGGACAAUGGGGGCAACCCUGAUCCAGCCAUGCCGCGUGAGUGAUGAAGGCCUUAGGGUUGUAAAGCUCUUUUACCCGGGACGAUAAUGACUGUACCGGGAGAAUAAGCCCCGGCUAACUUCGUGCCAGCCGCUGCGGUAA